RNAcentral lists this ribosomal RNA (253 nucleotides) under uncultured bacterium. Its description in RNAcentral is "partial 16S ribosomal RNA". It matches the Rfam family "Bacterial small subunit ribosomal RNA", at positions 524 to 776 of the family's 1533-position model. The record is from RNAcentral.
UACGUAGGGGGCAAGCGUUGUCCGGAAUUAUUGGGCGUAAAGAGCGUGUAGGCGGUCCGGUAAGUCAGCUGUGAAAGUCAAGGGCUCAACCCUUGAAAGCCGGUUGAUACUGUCGGGCUAGAGUCCGGAAGAGGCGAGUGGAAUUCCCGGUGUAGCGGUGAAAUACGCAGAUAUCGGGAGGAACACCAAUGGCGAAGGCAGCUCGCUGGGACGGUACUGACGCUGAGACGCGAAAGCGUGGGGAGCAAACAGG